CAGGCCUAACACAUGCAAGUCGGACGGUAGCACAGAGGAGCUUGCUCCUCGGGUGACGAGUGGCGGACGGGUGAGUAAUGUCUGGGGAUCUGCCCGAUAGAGGGGGAUAACCACUGGAAACGGUGGCUAAUACCGCAUAACGUCGCAAGACCAAAGAGGGGGACCUUCGGGCCUCUCACUAUCGGAUGAACCCAGAUGGGAUUAGCUAGUAGGCGGGGUAACGGCCCACCUAGGCGACGAUCCCUAGCUGGUCUGAGAGGAUGACCAGCCACACUGGAACUGAGACACGGUCCAGACUCCUACGGGAGGCAGCAGUGGGGAAUAUUGCACAAUGGGCGCAAGCCUGAUGCAGCCAUGCCGCGUGUAUGAAGAAGGCCUUCGGGUUGUAAAGUACUUUCAGCGGGGAGGAAGGCAUUGCGGUUAAUAACCGCAGUGAUUGACGUUACCCGCAGAAGAAGCACCGGCUAACUCCGUGCCAGCAGCCGCGGUAAU
This 492-nucleotide ribosomal RNA is filed under the name uncultured bacterium. RNAcentral's name for it is "bacterial SSU rRNA". It matches the Rfam family "Bacterial small subunit ribosomal RNA", at positions 43 to 524 of the family's 1533-position model. The record is from RNAcentral.